This 696-nucleotide ribosomal RNA is filed under the name Lactiplantibacillus plantarum. RNAcentral's name for it is "bacterial SSU rRNA". It matches the Rfam family "Bacterial small subunit ribosomal RNA", at positions 60 to 722 of the family's 1533-position model. Lineage: Bacteria; Bacillati; Bacillota; Bacilli; Lactobacillales; Lactobacillaceae. The record is from RNAcentral.
AGUCGACGAACUCUGGUAUUGAUUGGUGCUUGCAUCAUGAUUUACAUUUGAGUGAGUGGCGAACUGGUGAGUAACACGUGGGAAACCUGCCCAGAAGCGGGGGAUAACACCUGGAAACAGAUGCUAAUACCGCAUAACAACUUGGACCGCAUGGUCCGAGUUUGAAAGAUGGCUUCGGCUAUCACUUUUGGAUGGUCCCGCGGCGUAUUAGCUAGAUGGUGGGGUAACGGCUCACCAUGGCAAUGAUACGUAGCCGACCUGAGAGGGUAAUCGGCCACAUUGGGACUGAGACACGGCCCAAACUCCUACGGGAGGCAGCAGUAGGGAAUCUUCCACAAUGGACGAAAGUCUGAUGGAGCAACGCCGCGUGAGUGAAGAAGGGUUUCGGCUCGUAAAACUCUGUUGUUAAAGAAGAACAUAUCUGAGAGUAACUGUUCAGGUAUUGACGGUAUUUAACCAGAAAGCCACGGCUAACUACGUGCCAGCAGCCGCGGUAAUACGUAGGUGGCAAGCGUUGUCCGGAUUUAUUGGGCGUAAAGCGAGCGCAGGCGGUUUUUUAAGUCUGAUGUGAAAGCCUUCGGCUCAACCGAAGAAGUGCAUCGGAAACUGGGAAACUUGAGUGCAGAAGAGGACAGUGGAACUCCAUGUGUAGCGGUGAAAUGCGUAGAUAUAUGGAAGAACACCAGUGGCGAAGGC